This 423-nucleotide ribosomal RNA is filed under the name uncultured bacterium. RNAcentral describes it as "bacterial SSU rRNA". It matches the Rfam family "Bacterial small subunit ribosomal RNA", at positions 356 to 771 of the family's 1533-position model. The record is from RNAcentral.
GGGGAAUUUUGGACAAUGGGCGAAAGCCUGAUCCAGCCAUGCCGCGUGAGUGAAGAAGGCCUUCGGGUUGUAAAGCUCUUUCGGUCGGGAAGAAAUAGUUGCGGCUAAUAUCUGCAAUAAAUGACGGUACCGACAUAAGAAGCACCGGCUAACUACGUGCCAGCAGCCGCGGUAAUACGUAGGGUGCAAGCGUUAAUCGGAAUUAUUGGGCGUAAAGGGUGCGCAGGUGGUUAUAUAAGUCAGAUGUGAAAUCCCUGGGCUUAACCUAGGAAUUGCGUUUGAAACUAUAUAGCUAGAGUGUGGCAGAGGGGAGUGGAAUUCCAUGUGUAGCAGUGAAAUGCGUAGAGAUGUGGAAGAACACCGAUGGCGAAGGCAGCUCCCUGGGUUAACACUGACGCUCAUGCACGAAAGCGUGGGGAGCAA